This 1024-nucleotide ribosomal RNA is filed under the name Collinsella aerofaciens. Its description in RNAcentral is "bacterial SSU rRNA". It matches the Rfam family "Bacterial small subunit ribosomal RNA", at positions 420 to 1466 of the family's 1533-position model. The record is from RNAcentral. RNAcentral also lists the same sequence under 1 other name. Lineage: Bacteria; Bacillati; Actinomycetota; Coriobacteriia; Coriobacteriales; Coriobacteriaceae.
GGGUCGUAAACCGCUUUCAGCAGGGAAGAGAGAAGACUGUACCUGCAGAAGAAGCCCCGGCUAACUACGUGCCAGCAGCCGCGGUAAUACGUAGGGGGCGAGCGUUAUCCGGAUUCAUUGGGCGUAAAGCGCGCGUAGGCGGCCCGGCAGGCCGGGGGUCGAAGCGGGGGGCUCAACCCCCCGAAGCCCCCGGAACCUCCGCGGCUUGGGUCCGGUAGGGGAGGGUGGAACACCCGGUGUAGCGGUGGAAUGCGCAGAUAUCGGGUGGAACACCGGUGGCGAAGGCGGCCCUCUGGGCCGAGACCGACGCUGAGGCGCGAAAGCUGGGGGAGCGAACAGGAUUAGAUACCCUGGUAGUCCCAGCCGUAAACGAUGGACGCUAGGUGUGGGGGGACGAUCCCCCCGUGCCGCAGCCAACGCAUUAAGCGUCCCGCCUGGGGAGUACGGCCGCAAGGCUAAAACUCAAAGGAAUUGACGGGGGCCCGCACAAGCAGCGGAGCAUGUGGCUUAAUUCGAAGCAACGCGAAGAACCUUACCAGGGCUUGACAUAUGGGUGAAGCGGGGGAGACCCCGUGGCCGAGAGGAGCCCAUACAGGUGGUGCAUGGCUGUCGUCAGCUCGUGUCGUGAGAUGUUGGGUUAAGUCCCGCAACGAGCGCAACCCCCGCCGCGUGUUGCCAUCGGGCGAUGCCGGGAACCCACGCGGGACCGCCGCCGUCAAGGCGGAGGAGGGCGGGGACGACGUCAAGUCAUCAUGCCCCUUAUGCCCUGGGCUGCACACGUGCUACAAUGGCCGGUACAGAGGGAUGCCACCCCGCGAGGGGGAGCGGAUCCCGGAAAGCCGGCCCCAGUUCGGAUUGGGGGCUGCAACCCGCCCCCAUGAAGUCGGAGUUGCUAGUAAUCGCGGAUCAGCAUGCCGCGGUGAAUGCGUUCCCGGGCCUUGUACACACCGCCCGUCACACCACCCGAGUCGUCUGCACCCGAAGUCGCCGGCCCAACCGAGAGGGGGGAGGCGCCGAAGGUGUG